RNAcentral lists this long non-coding RNA (370 nucleotides) under Pan troglodytes (chimpanzee). RNAcentral's name for it is "long non-coding RNA NONPTRT007437". Lineage: Eukaryota; Metazoa; Chordata; Mammalia; Primates; Hominidae. The record is from RNAcentral.
ACUCUGGCUGUCCUGACCAUCACUUCAAGCCCACCAGCCCUGCAGCAAAAAAAAUCAAACGAGUAGUUCAGAAGGCAAAGUCUGCAAGGGAAGGAAGUGUAUUGGGAGGUACAGUAAGUACUCCUGUCUGGAGAAGGUCUUCUUUGGGGCUAGAAACUGAGCCAGUGCUAAAGCCAUGCAGGAAGGAGGAAAUAAUCAGUGAGCCACGGGCUGAACUUGUGGAGAAGAAAUGGAGGGCAAGGUCACAAACCAGUCCCUAACUGCUUCUAAUUUAAUGAGUUUACCGUGAAGAAGCUGACUGCUAUGAACAGCAUGUGAAGGUGGAGGAAUUCCAGCCCAGUGAGGAGCUCCCCUGAACCAACUGGCCUCA